This 484-nucleotide ribosomal RNA is filed under the name uncultured bacterium. RNAcentral's name for it is "partial 16S ribosomal RNA". It matches the Rfam family "Bacterial small subunit ribosomal RNA", at positions 28 to 523 of the family's 1533-position model. The record is from RNAcentral.
GACGAACGCUGGCGGCGUGCUUAACACAUGCAAGUCGAACGAUGAACCCGGAGCUUGCUCCGGCGGAUUAGUGGCGAACGGGUGAGUAACACGUGAGCAACCUGCCCCGGACUCUGGAAUAAGCGCUGGAAACGGCGUCUAAUACUGGAUAUGACACCAAUCAGCAUGGGUAUGGUGUGGAAAGUUUUUCGGUCUGGGAUGGGCUCGCGGCCUAUCAGCUUGUUGGUGAGGUAAUGGCUCACCAAGGCGACGACGGGUAGCCGGCCUGAGAGGGCGACCGGCCACACUGGGACUGAGACACGGCCCAGACUCCUACGGGAGGCAGCAGUGGGGAAUAUUGCGCAAUAGGCGAAAGCCUGAUGCAGCGACGCCGCGUGAGGGAUGACGGCCUUCGGGUUGUAAACCUCUUUCAGCAGGGAAGAAGCGAAAGUGACGGUACCUGCAGAAGAAGCACCGGCUAACUACGUGCCAGCCGCCGCGGUAA